UACAGAGGGGGCAAGCGUUGUUCGGAAUUACUGGGCGUAAAGGGCGCGUAGGCGGCCUGUUAAGUCGAACGUGAAAUCCCCGGGCUCAACCCGGGAACUGCGUCCGAUACUGGCAGGCUUGAAUUCGGGAGAGGGAUGUGGAAUUCCAGGUGUAGCGGUGAAAUGCGUAGAUAUCUGGAGGAACACCGGUGGCGAAGGCGGCCAUCUGGACGGUGACUGACGCUGAGACGCGAAAGCGUGGGGAGCAAACAGG
Molecule: ribosomal RNA, 253 nt
Filed under: uncultured bacterium
Lineage: Bacteria
Description: partial 16S ribosomal RNA
Rfam family: Bacterial small subunit ribosomal RNA
Source: RNAcentral